This 432-nucleotide ribosomal RNA is filed under the name Triticum aestivum (bread wheat). Its description in RNAcentral is "partial small subunit ribosomal RNA". The record is from RNAcentral. Lineage: Eukaryota; Viridiplantae; Streptophyta; Magnoliopsida; Poales; Poaceae.
AUGGACAGCCAUUCACCAGCGCAAGACCACCAACGGGAAUACAAGGGAGGUGCAGCAAUAUGGGAGGCCCCGGAGCUAGGUUGGGUCAAAGCUAAUGCCGAUGGUGCCGUGUCCAGGCUUGGAGGAAAGGGCGGUGGCGGGGUCAUUCUCAGAGGUGACCAAGGCGAUUUCCGUGCGGCCGCAUGCACGUUCAUUGAUGGAGUCGUGGACGCCGAGACGGCGGAGCUCAUGGCAUGCAGGAGGGCGGUUCAGCUAGCUGGAGAGAUCAACGUCCAGAGACUACACCUCGAGACAGACAACAUGGAGGUGGCGAGCAUGCUUGCAGACACGAACAAGAACCUUUCGGCUUCCAGGACCAUGUGUCGAGGAGAUCAAGCAGAUGUUCCAUGGCUUCAACAAGGUGAAAGUGUCGUGGGUACGACGGUUCGCUAA